UCUCCGUAGGUGAACCUGCGGAGGGAUCAUUACAGAGUUCAUGCCCUACCGGGUAGAUCUCCCACCCUAUGUUAUUAUUACUUUGUUGCUUUGGCGGGCCGUUAGGCUCCGGCCCGACUACCGGCCCCGGCUGGUAAGCGUCCGCCAGAGGACCCAAAACCCUGAAUAUUAGUGUCGUCUGAGUACUAUAUAAUAGUUAAAACUUUCAACAACGGAUCUCUUGGUUCUG
RNAcentral lists this unclassified non-coding RNA (229 nucleotides) under plant metagenome. RNAcentral's name for it is "partial contains small subunit ribosomal RNA, internal transcribed spacer 1, and 5.8S ribosomal RNA". The record is from RNAcentral.